Molecule: ribosomal RNA, 329 nt
Filed under: uncultured Ruminococcus sp.
Lineage: Bacteria; Bacillati; Bacillota; Clostridia; Eubacteriales; Oscillospiraceae
Description: bacterial SSU rRNA
Rfam family: Bacterial small subunit ribosomal RNA
Source: RNAcentral
GAUGAACGCUGGCGGCGUGCUUAACACAUGCAAGUCGAACGAGGAAUAAUUGAUGAGAUCUUCGGAUGGAUUUAGUUAUUCCGAGUGGCGGACGGGUGAGGUAACGCGUGGGUAACCUGCCCCAUACAGGGGGACAACAGAGGGAAACUUCUGCUAAUACCGCAUAAGCGCUUUUUAUGGCAUCGUAAGAAGCGGAAAGCUCCGGCGGUAUGGGAUGGGCCCGCGUUGGAUUAGGCAGUUGGCGGGGUAACGGCCCACCAAACCGACGAUCCAUAGCCGACCUGAGAGGGUGACCGGCCACAUUGGGACUGAGACACGGCCCAGACUCC